GGUCAACUUUCAGGAGCUCCUACGGCCGCAAUACAGGGUGCUCUGCCUUGUUCUUAGGUAGCAUUUGUUCCCCUUAGUCUCAGACACCUUCCCUCCAAAAAGCGCUCUCCUGGCGGAUUUCAAAGUGGUUCAAAACUGCAAACCAAGUUGUCCGGGAACCGCACAGUUACCUCAUGCUGAAAACCGUUCCAUAACAUUCGUGGCUCAAUCCCGCUGAGGUGACCGGAAACCCACGAAGUCCUCAUGAGGAAUUUAGUUCAUCCAUCACUACCAUUUGUAAUACUUCGGAA
Non-coding RNA from Pelobates cultripes (western spadefoot toad), 290 nucleotides. The record is from the annotation of a GenBank genome assembly. Lineage: Eukaryota; Metazoa; Chordata; Amphibia; Anura; Pelobatidae.